RNAcentral lists this long non-coding RNA (240 nucleotides) under Gossypium barbadense (sea-island cotton). Its description in RNAcentral is "long non-coding RNA (GBAR_LNC015684)". Lineage: Eukaryota; Viridiplantae; Streptophyta; Magnoliopsida; Malvales; Malvaceae. The record is from RNAcentral.
UAGCCUUGUGCCUCUUGGUCCUUUCAUCAGCAUGCUGCCUGAUCUGAGCCACUGUUGGAUUAGCUCUAAGUGGCUCUGGUUCAACAUCAGUGUUGACCACCUCCCACAGAUCGAAAGCCUGCAGGUAGGUCUUCAUUUUGACCACCCAUAUGUGAUAGCCUUCUCCAUUGAAGACUUGAGGUGCAGCUGGUGAAAAGCUUGAUGAAGCCAUGGAUUUGUGUAACAGAUCUCUUAAGAAAU